RNAcentral lists this ribosomal RNA (492 nucleotides) under uncultured bacterium. RNAcentral's name for it is "partial 16S ribosomal RNA". It matches the Rfam family "Bacterial small subunit ribosomal RNA", at positions 29 to 507 of the family's 1533-position model. The record is from RNAcentral.
AGUGAACGCUGGCGGUAGGCCUAACACAUGCAAGUCGAACGGCAGCACAGUAAGAGCUUGCUCUUACGGGUGGCGAGUGGCGGACGGGUGAGGAAUACAUCGGAAUCUACUUUUUCGUGGGGGAUAACGUAGGGAAACUUACGCUAAUACCGCAUACGACCUACGGGUGAAAGCAGGGGAUCUUCGGACCUUGCGCGAUUGAAUGAGCCGAUGUCGGAUUAGCUAGUUGGCGGGGUAAAGGCCCACCAAGGCGACGAUCCGUAGCUGGUCUGAGAGGAUGAUCGGCCGCCCUGGAACUGAACCACGGUCCAGACUCCUACGGGAGGCAGCAGUGGGGAAUAUUGGACAGUGGGCGCAAGCCUGAUCCAGCCAUACCGCGUGGGUGAAGAAGGCCUUCGGGUUGUAAAGCCCUCUUGUUGGGAAAAAAAAGCAGCAGGUUAAUACCCCGCUGUUCUGACGGUACCCAAAGAAUAAGCACCGGCUAACUUCGUG